RNAcentral lists this ribosomal RNA (484 nucleotides) under uncultured bacterium. RNAcentral describes it as "partial 16S ribosomal RNA". It matches the Rfam family "Bacterial small subunit ribosomal RNA", at positions 28 to 507 of the family's 1533-position model. The record is from RNAcentral.
AUUGAACGCUGGCGGCAUGCUUUGCACAUGCAAGUCGAACGGCAGCGCGGGCUUCGGCCUGUCGGCGAGUGGCGAACGGGUGAGUAAUGCAUCGGAACGUGCCCAGUAGUGGGGGAUAGCCCGGCGAAAGCCGGAUUAAUACCGCAUACGACCUGAGGGUGAAAGCGGGGGACCGAAAGGCCUCGCGCUAUUGGAGGGGCCGAUGUCGGAUUAGCUAGUUGGUGGGGUAAAGGCUUACCAAGGCGACGAUCCGUAGCUGGUCUGAGAGGACGACCAGCCACACUGGGACUGAGACACGGCCCAGACUCCUACGGGAGGCAGCAGUGGGGAAUUUUGGACAAUGGGGGCAACCCUGAUCCAGCCAUGCCGCGUGCGGGAAGAAGGCCUUCGGGUUGUAAACCGCUUUUGUUCGGGAAGAAAUCCUCUGGGCUAAUACCCCGGGGGGAUGACGGUACCGGAAGAAUAAGCACCGGCUAACUACGUG